This 276-nucleotide long non-coding RNA is filed under the name Elaeis guineensis (African oil palm). RNAcentral's name for it is "long non-coding RNA (EGUI_LNC081297)". Lineage: Eukaryota; Viridiplantae; Streptophyta; Magnoliopsida; Arecales; Arecaceae. The record is from RNAcentral.
UUUACUUGGCGUAGCUCUGUCAUGUUCAGUUUGGGAAACCAAGAGCUCAAACUAAUCUCCCUUAUCUUCUUUCUUUUUCUUGUUCUUGACCUAGAAGAAAUGAUACAGCAAUUUGAGAAAAGAAAAGAAAAGGAAAAGAGAGGAGAGAGAGAGAGAGAGAGGAAUGCUAACUAUAUACGCUUAUACUCUUCUUGGCUCUCCUGGACGUGCAGAACUGUUUCUUCGUCCUCUACACCCUUUCUUUUAUUGCUUUGAGGGCAGUAAGCCAACUGUAUG